Populus euphratica (Euphrates poplar) is the source of this 261-nucleotide long non-coding RNA. RefSeq lists it as uncharacterized. Lineage: Eukaryota; Viridiplantae; Streptophyta; Magnoliopsida; Malpighiales; Salicaceae. The record is from RefSeq and is a predicted model, not a curated record. The transcript is spliced from 4 exons.
UGGGACUAUUACGAGAGUUCAAGUAUUAGGUCUAUCAGGAUCUCGUCAGAAAUGAUAUUGGUUUAGUUACCUUUUACUUUUGACCAUGUAAUUAUUUGUAAAUUAAAAGAUUUAUCUCCUAAAACUUGAAAUAUAAUAGUAAUCCGUCAAUUUGCAUGUAUGACUUUAAUCUAAUAUUUGUAAUUCUAAAUAACUAUUUAACCAUACAUAUUUAUUUUUCACUCAAUUAUAUUCUAUGAAAUUCUCAGAAAAAAUAGUUUU